Long non-coding RNA from Neofelis nebulosa (Clouded leopard), 1127 nucleotides. RefSeq lists it as uncharacterized. The transcript is spliced from 3 exons. The record is from RefSeq and is a predicted model, not a curated record. NCBI's taxonomy places the organism in Eukaryota, Metazoa, Chordata, Mammalia, Carnivora, Felidae.
UUCCUCCUGCCGCUCCCACCUGCCUGCGAGAGAACGACCUGGCAAAGGCUCUUGAAGUUGGAAAGUUUACGUGGUCACUGGGAAUCGUGGAGAGGCUUGAGGGAAGGAUUGAAAUGUGAAUAAAGAAACAAACAUUGAGGUUUAUUUUAGCAUUGGUAUUUUUCGUGGACAUUGACGGGAACACUGCGCAUACAAGAAGACCAAGCACCGCGUACGAGUGACCUCGUCUUAGUUAAAGCGGAGAUGAUAGGGCCGACCCGGGAAGUGAUGCAUUGUCAGGUUCUAGACUUUCCCACAAGAACUAGUGACCACACAGGUAAGAAGUAUCGGAGUCAACACCGAACAUUUCAGACCUAGGCAGUGACUAUUGACUUGGUCUUUCUUUCCUGACAAACAGUUACUGGUUCCAGUUUGCUCGGUGCUCCAGCUGGAAAGUACCUUGGGAGAUACUCUGACGGCACUCCUUGGAGCAUGGUGAAUGUUGACCAGCCACGACAGUUUCUGGUGACCAUGAGGAGCUGGCUGGGACCCUGCUCACUCCAGAGUCUGCAGACGGGAUCUUGGGAGAACUGGCCAAAGUCCAUGAAAGGCCGGAAUUCUUGCCGCGGCCAGCUGUCUCACAUCUUCGUGUAGUGCCUGGUCUACGCCAGAGAGAAAACGGUCCUUGCAUUCCGCCUGGUGGCCUAAACAAAACACCACCUUAAAGAGUCGUAGCGUACCUACUGAAUGUCAGAAAAUAUUUGCAAAUCAUAUAUGUGAUAAGGGACUAAUAUCCAAAUAUAUAAAGAACUUCUGCAACCCAAUGGCAAAAAGCAGUGUGAUUGGAAAAUGGGCAGAGGGGCUGAAAAGACAUUUUUCCAAAGAAGACAUCAUCCAGAUGGCCCACAGGUGCUUGAAAAGAUGCUCAACGUCACUCAUCAUCAGGGAUGCAAAUCAAAACCACAGUGAGGUACCACCUCACACCUGUUAGCAUGGCCGUCCUCCAGAAGACAAGCGGUAAGUUGGUGAGGAUGUGGAGGAAAGGGAACCCUCAUGCACUGUUGGUGGGACUGUAGGUUUUUUCAUGUUUCUACACGUAAGUGUUACUUUUUUUUAAAUGUAUUAUUGGGGGGGCUGUAAAUUUGUGC